Molecule: ribosomal RNA, 465 nt
Filed under: Vreelandella stevensii
Lineage: Bacteria; Pseudomonadati; Pseudomonadota; Gammaproteobacteria; Oceanospirillales; Halomonadaceae
Description: partial 16S ribosomal RNA
Rfam family: Bacterial small subunit ribosomal RNA
Source: RNAcentral
CCUACGGGAGGCUGCAGUGGGGAAUAUUGGACAAUGGGGGGAACCCUGAUCCAGCCAUGCCGCGUGUGUGAAGAAGGCCCUCGGGUUGUAAAGCACUUUCAGUGAGGAAGAACGCCUGGUGGUUAAUACCCAUCAGGAAAGACAUCACUCACAGAAGAAGCACCGGCUAACUCCGUGCCAGCAGCCGCGGUAAUACGGAGGGUGCGAGCGUUAAUCGGAAUUACUGGGCGUAAAGCGCGCGUAGGUGGCUUGAUAAGCCGGUUGUGAAAGCCCCGGGCUCAACCUGGGAACGGCAUCCGGAACUGUCAAGCUAGAGUGCAGGAGAGGAAGGUAGAAUUCCCGGUGUAGCGGUGAAAUGCGUAGAGAUCGGGAGGAAUACCAGUGGCAAAGGCGGCCUUCUGGACUGACACUGACACUGAGGUGCGAAAGCGUGGGUAGCAAACAGGAUUAGAUACCCCAGUAGUC